RNAcentral lists this ribosomal RNA (916 nucleotides) under uncultured bacterium. Its description in RNAcentral is "bacterial SSU rRNA". It matches the Rfam family "Bacterial small subunit ribosomal RNA", at positions 246 to 1155 of the family's 1533-position model. The record is from RNAcentral.
UUGUUGGUAAGGUAAAGGCUUACCAAGGCUUCGAUCAGUAGCUGGUCUGAGAGGACGGCCAGCCACACUGGGACUGAGACACGGCCCAGACUCCUACGGGAGGCAGCAGUGGGGAAUUUUGGACAAUGGGGGAAACCCUGAUCCAGCCAUGCCGCGUGAGUGAAGAAGGCCUUCGGGUUGUAAAGCUCUUUCAGCCGGAACGAAACGGUUACGGAUAAUACCCGUGACUACUGACGGUACCGGAGGAAGAAGCACCGGCUAACUACGUGCCAGCAGCCGCGGUAAUACGUAGGGUGCGAGCGUUAAUCGGAAUUACUGGGCGUAAAGCGUGCGCAGGUGGUUUUGUAAGUCAGAUGUGAAAGCCCCGGGCUCAACCUGGGAACUGCGUUUGAAACUACAAGACUAGAGUGUGGCAGAGGGGGGUGGAAUUCCGCGUGUAGCAGUGAAAUGCGUAGAGAUGUGGAGGAACACCGAUGGCGAAGGCAGCCCCCUGGGUUAACACUGACACUCAGGCACGAAAGCAUGGGGAGCAAACAGGAUUAGAUACCCUGGUAGUCCAUGCCCUAAACGAUGUCAACUAGUUGUCGGGCCUUUACGGGCUUGGUAACGUAGCUAACGCGUGAAGUUGACCGCCUGGGGAGUACGAUCGCAAGAUUAAAACUCAAAUGAAUUGACGGGGACCCGCACAAGCGGUGGAUUAUGUGGAUUAAUUCGAUGCAACGCGAAAAACCUUACCUACCCUUGACAUGUAUCGAAGCCCGCAGAAAAGCGGGGGUGCCCGAAAGGGAACGAUAACACAGGUGCUGCAUGGCUGUCGUCAGCUCGUGUCGUGAGAUGUUGGGUUAAGUCCCGCAACGAGCGCAACCCUUGUCAUUAAUUGCCAUCAUUUAGUUGGGCACUUUAAUGAGACUGCCGG